Long non-coding RNA from Harpia harpyja (harpy eagle), 1039 nucleotides. RefSeq lists it as uncharacterized. NCBI's taxonomy places the organism in Eukaryota, Metazoa, Chordata, Aves, Accipitriformes, Accipitridae. The transcript is spliced from 3 exons. The record is from RefSeq and is a predicted model, not a curated record.
UACAGAUUGAAGAACUAAAGUAAAGAAAGACUGUUGUCAAGAUUCCCGAACAUGCAUAAAACAAGAUUCCACAGGCCAUGUGGGGGCCAUAAAAUGAGGAGCACGCAAUCACCUAGGAGAAGUCUGAUUUAAGGGACCACUGUAAUUGGACACUGACCGUGUAACACAGAAACUCUGUAGCAGAAGUAAGGGGAAAACUGAACUCUUCUAGGUUGGAACAUAUUUAAGCUGCUAUGCAAACGCAGAACUGCCUUUUGGAAAGUCAGCAAAGGCAUUCCUCUCAUCAGUUGCAUCAUGGGCUUCCAGGAUUUCUGCAUUUUUAAAGCCUCUCGAAUGUGGUCCUACAGGGUGCGGCUACUUUGGCCUUGAUCUACCGAUGCACUUAAGCAUAAUGGUGGGAUCUAUUCACCAAUAGCACUUAUAUGCCAAUGCACUAGGCUUUCUAUAAUUAUGAGCUGUAAUUGACAGGGCAAUGGAGCAAUAUUAAGAAGCAGUUAGAACCCAGGAUCACCCCAGCAGUAGGGAAGAGAAACCUUCAGGGCUUUUCUGAAAACAAUCUGAGAGUUGUUGUGAAGGUUACACUACAAUACAGUCCAAAAUCUGAAAGAUAAGGAAUAGCUCUCGUCAGAGGAAAUGAAUAUUUAAGUGGAAUUUGCUUAUUUAUUUUUCAAUGUUAAUGGCUUUCAAUUUUCUGUUAUUGUAGACUGCUUUACUGUGUUGGAUCAAGUGGUUUGCAUAGUAAGGUAAGUGUCAUUCUCCUCCUUUUACAUUGGAUUGGCAUGGAGAGCUGAGAUGACUUGACCAAGCUCACUUACAGAUCACAGCAUAGCCAGGCUUUGAAUCCUAAAGAAAGGCAAGUGAACAAUAGUUCUUGUGUGACAAACACACUAUGAAAGGAAGGAGUGUUCAGUGAUGCAUUGUUUAGGGGACCCAAACUGAUGAGCGUUUGUUGAAUGAUAGUGCAGAUAGGAUGGUUCUUGAGCAAAGCAUAGGUACCUGGGUAAAUUUAAUGUUUUAGAAGACGUAUAGGUUAUAAAUA